RNAcentral lists this ribosomal RNA (497 nucleotides) under uncultured bacterium. RNAcentral's name for it is "partial 16S ribosomal RNA". It matches the Rfam family "Bacterial small subunit ribosomal RNA", at positions 28 to 507 of the family's 1533-position model. The record is from RNAcentral.
GAUGAACGCUGGCGGCGUGCCUAAUACAUGCAAGUCGAGCGAACGGACGAGAAGCUUGCUUCUCUGAUGUUAGCGGCGGACGGGUGAGUAACACGUGGAUAACCUACCUAUAAGACUGGGAUAACUUCGGGAAACCGGAGCUAAUACCGGAUAAUAUUUUGAACCGCAUGGUUCAAAAGUGAAAGACGGUCUUGCUGUCACUUAUAGAUGGAUCCGCGCUGCAUUAGCUAGUUGGUAAGGUAACGGCUUACCAAGGCAACGAUGCAUAGCCGACCUGAGAGGGUGAUCGGCCACACUGGAACUGAGACACGGUCCAGACUCCUAAGGGAGGCAGCAGUAGGGAAUCUUCCGCAAUAGGCGAAAGCCUGACGGAGCAACGCCGCGUGAGUGAUGAAGGUCUUCGGAUCGUAAAACUCUGUUAUGAGGGAAGAACAUAUGUGUAAGUAACUGUGCACAUCUUGACGGUACCUAAUCAGAAAGCCACGGCUAACUACGUG